RNAcentral lists this long non-coding RNA (313 nucleotides) under Nicotiana benthamiana. RNAcentral's name for it is "long non-coding RNA (NBEN_LNC016251)". Lineage: Eukaryota; Viridiplantae; Streptophyta; Magnoliopsida; Solanales; Solanaceae. The record is from RNAcentral.
CGUUUGUCAUAACUCCAGCCUUCUGCAACAUAGAACCAAAUACAGCAGCACAUAAAAUUGCUUGCCGAUUUGUGAUCAACAUUUGCUUCUGUAUCCCUGUGAUGUAGGUAUUUAACGAGCUACAACAUGAAGGACUUGGAGCAGCUAAAUUUCUGCAUGCAUUGAUCACUUCAGAUGGCUGCUUGAAUUCCAGUGGACAAGCUACCCUGUGAUGUAAGCAUUUAACGAGCUACAACAUGAAGGACUUGGAGCAGCUAAAUUUCUGCAUGCAUUGAUCACUUCAGAUGGCUGCUUGAAUUCCAGGGGACAAGCU